RNAcentral lists this small nuclear RNA (35 nucleotides) under Cervus elaphus hippelaphus. Lineage: Eukaryota; Metazoa; Chordata; Mammalia; Artiodactyla; Cervidae. The record is from RNAcentral.
GUGCUCGCUUCGGCAGCACAUAUACUAAAACUGGA